UACGUAGGGUGCGAGCGUUGUCCGGAUUUAUUGGGCGUAAAGAGCUCGUAGGCGGUUUGUCGCGUCGGCCGUGAAAACCUGCAGCUUAACUGUGGGCGUGCGGUCGAUACGGGCAGACUUGAGUUCGGCAGGGGAGACUGGAAUUCCUGGUGUAGCGGUGAAAUGCGCAGAUAUCAGGAGGAACACCGGUGGCGAAGGCGGGUCUCUGGGCCGAUACUGACGCUGAGGAGCGAAAGCAUGGGGAGCGAACAGG
This 253-nucleotide ribosomal RNA is filed under the name uncultured bacterium. RNAcentral's name for it is "partial 16S ribosomal RNA". It matches the Rfam family "Bacterial small subunit ribosomal RNA", at positions 524 to 776 of the family's 1533-position model. The record is from RNAcentral. RNAcentral also lists the same sequence under 1 other name.